RNAcentral lists this ribosomal RNA (419 nucleotides) under uncultured bacterium. RNAcentral's name for it is "bacterial SSU rRNA". It matches the Rfam family "Bacterial small subunit ribosomal RNA", at positions 30 to 447 of the family's 1533-position model. The record is from RNAcentral.
AUUGAACGCUGGCGGCAUGCCUUACACAUGCAAGUCGAACGGCAGCACGGGUGCUUGCACCUGGUGGCGAGUGGCGAACGGGUGAGUAAUACAUCGGAACGUACCUUAUCGUGGGGGAUAACGCAGCGAAAGCUGUGCUAAUACCGCAUACGCCCUGAGGGGGAAAGCGGGGGAUCGAAAGACCUCGCGCGAUUAGAGCGGCCGAUGCCUGAUUAGCUUGUUGGUGGGGUAAAAGCCCACCAAGGCGACGAUCAGUAGCUGGUCUGAGAGGACGAUCAGCCACACUGGGACUGAGACACGGCCCAGACUCCUACGGGAGGCAGCAGUGGGGAAUUUUGGACAAUGGGGGAAACCCUGAUCCAGCAAUGCCGCGUGAGUGAAGAAGGCCUCGGUUGGUUAAAGUACGUACUUUUCGUUCU